GACGGAGGAUGCAAGUGUUAUCCGGAAUCACUGGGCGUAAAGCGUCUGUAGGUGGUUUAAUAAGUCAACUGUUAAAUCUUGAGGCUCAACCUCAAAAUCGCAGUCGAAACUAUUAGGCUAGAGUAUAGUAGGGGUAAAGGGAAUUUCCAGUGGAGCGGUGGAAAUGCGUAGAGAUUGGAAAGAACACCGAUGGCGAAGGCACUUUACUGGGCUAUUACUAAC
This 222-nucleotide ribosomal RNA is filed under the name uncultured bacterium. Its description in RNAcentral is "partial 16S ribosomal RNA". It matches the Rfam family "Bacterial small subunit ribosomal RNA", at positions 524 to 744 of the family's 1533-position model. The record is from RNAcentral.